RNAcentral lists this ribosomal RNA (253 nucleotides) under uncultured bacterium. Its description in RNAcentral is "partial 16S ribosomal RNA". It matches the Rfam family "Bacterial small subunit ribosomal RNA", at positions 524 to 776 of the family's 1533-position model. The record is from RNAcentral.
GACGAACCGUGCGAACGUUGUUCGGAAUCACUGGGCUUAAAGGGCGCGUAGGCGGACUGCCAAGUCCGGGGUGAAAUCCUCCGGCUUAACCGGAGAAUUGCCUGGGAUACUGGCGGUCUUGAGGGAGGUAGGGGCACGCGGAACUUCCGGUGGAGCGGUGAAAUGCGUUGAUAUCGGAAGGAACGCCGGUGGCGAAAGCGGCGUGCUGGCCCUCUUCUGACGCUGAGGCGCGAAAGCGUGGGGAGCAAACAGG